RNAcentral lists this ribosomal RNA (519 nucleotides) under uncultured Antarctic soil bacterium. RNAcentral's name for it is "bacterial SSU rRNA". It matches the Rfam family "Bacterial small subunit ribosomal RNA", at positions 1 to 541 of the family's 1533-position model. The record is from RNAcentral.
UUUUUGUUGUACACUGCUUGUAUAUGUAGAAGAUGGAUACCUGCUGCCGACUGGCAGUCGUAAGCGUGCUACGUGGCGCCUAAUUGUCCAUCUUAUGAGAGAGCUUACAACGCACUGGAUGCAUAUUUACGAGGAUGCUAUAGUGCCACCUUAUUAAAUUGGCGUGCUUAUGGUCAUAGCUGAAGCCUGCGGCCACUCCCAGAGGAUUUUUUGUGCCAUUAGGUAGUUGGUGCGGUAACGGCGCACCAAGGCGAUGAUGGCUAGGGGGUCUGAGAGGAUGAUCCCCCACACUGGGACUGAGACACGGCCCAUACUCCUACGGGAGGCAGCAGUGACGGAAUCUUGCGCAAUGGGGGCAACCCUGACGCAUCCACGCCGCGUGCCGGAAGACGGCCCUAUGGGUUGUAAACGGCUUUUAGGUGGGAAGAAUCUCCCGAAUUGUUCCGGGACUGACGGUACCUGCAGAAUAAGCACCGGCUAACUCCGUGCCACAGCCGUGGUAUCGGAGGGUGGGUGGCA